RNAcentral lists this ribosomal RNA (331 nucleotides) under Mytilus galloprovincialis (Mediterranean mussel). RNAcentral describes it as "partial 16S ribosomal RNA". It matches the Rfam family "Bacterial large subunit ribosomal RNA", at positions 1989 to 2566 of the family's 2925-position model. The record is from RNAcentral. Lineage: Eukaryota; Metazoa; Mollusca; Bivalvia; Mytilida; Mytilidae.
GGUAUGAAAGGGUUAACGAAGAAGGUGCUGUGUCUAAAAAUUCAAUUUAAACUAACUUUAAGGUGAAGAGGCCUUUAUGUAAAAGAAGGACGACAAGACCCUAUGAAGCUUUAUCUUAAUUGGAGCUCUCAGGCUCUUAUACGAUUUUGAUGGGAGAUCAGUAGAAAUAAGUCUUCUACUAUCAUAUUAAUCUUACUAGUAUCUCCUAACUUUAUAUGUGUGGCUAGCUACUCUAGGGAUAACAGCGCAAUUUCUCCCGAAAGAUGGUAUUGGAGGGGAAGAUUGCGACCUCGAUGUUGGCUUUAGAUAUCCUAGAGGCGUAGAAGCUUCU